UACGGAGGGUGCAAGCGUUAAUCGGAAUUACUGGGCGUAAAGCGCACGCAGGCGGUCUGUCAAGUCGGAUGUGAAAUCCCCGGGCUCAACCUGGGAACUGCAUUCGAAACUGGCAGGCUGGAGUCUCGUAGAGGGAGGUAGAAUUCCAGGUGUAGCGGUGAAAUGCGUAGAGAUCUGGAGGAAUACCGGUGGCGAAGGCGGCCUCCUGGACGAAGACUGACGCUCAGGUGCGAAAGCGUGGGUAGCAAACAGGAUUAGAUACCCUGGUAGUCCACGCUGUAAACGAUGUCGACUUGGAGGUUGUACCCUUGAGGAGUGGCUGCCGGAGCUAACGCGUUAAGUCGACCGCCUGGGGAGUACGGCCGCAAGGUUAAA
Molecule: ribosomal RNA, 375 nt
Filed under: uncultured bacterium
Lineage: Bacteria
Description: bacterial SSU rRNA
Rfam family: Bacterial small subunit ribosomal RNA
Source: RNAcentral